This 498-nucleotide ribosomal RNA is filed under the name uncultured bacterium. RNAcentral describes it as "partial 16S ribosomal RNA". It matches the Rfam family "Bacterial small subunit ribosomal RNA", at positions 28 to 523 of the family's 1533-position model. The record is from RNAcentral.
GACGAACGCUGGCGGCGUGCCUAAUACAUGCAAGUCGAACGCUUCACUUCGGUGAAGAGUGGCGAACGGGUGAGUAAUACAUAAGUAACCUGGCAUCUACAGGGGGAUAACUGAUGGAAACGUCAGCUAAGACCGCAUAGGUGUAGAGAUCGCAUGAACUCUAUAUGAAAAGUGCUACGGGACUGGUAGAUGAUGGACUUAUGGCGCAUUAGCUGGUUGGUAGGGUAACGUCCUACCAAGGCGACGAUGCGUAGCCGACCUGAGAGGGGGAGCGGCCACACUGGGACUGAGACACGGCCCAGACUCCUACGGGAGGCAGCAGUAGGGAAUUUUCGGCAAUGGGGGAAACCCUGACCGAGCAACGCCGCGUGAAGGAAGAAGUAAUUCGUUAUGUAAACUUCUGUCAUAGAGGAAGAACGGUGGAUAUAGGGAAUGAUAUCCAAGUGACGGUACUCUAUAAGAAAGCCACGGCUAACUACGUGCCAGCCGCCGCCGUAA